UGCCGGGCCUCAAAGUUUGGAGAACAGGGGAGCCAGGAAACACUUUAAGGUCCUGCCCCAGUAAAACUCCCCACCUGCCACUGUCCCAGGAGUAGACCACACCAAACACGAGGCGGAAGUUUGACACCAGAAUCCACUUGGGGCUCAGCUCCCAACCUCACCAGAUACGAACAUUUCACACAUAAAAAGACGCACCCUCAGAUCUCUUGUGUCUGAUUGGUCAGAGAUGUUGCACUGGUGGCAGAAGUGAUGCUACACAAUCAUUUCCGGUUUGGAUGCUGAGCUGUUUGAGUUUACGAGUCAUGACUUGCAUUGCUGUGAUGGACUUGCGACCUAUCCAGGGUGUACCCCGCCCCUCGCACUGUGACUGCUGGAUAUGGGCACCAGG
This is a long non-coding RNA of Austrofundulus limnaeus, 388 nucleotides long. RefSeq lists it as uncharacterized. NCBI's taxonomy places the organism in Eukaryota, Metazoa, Chordata, Actinopteri, Cyprinodontiformes, Rivulidae. The transcript is spliced from 4 exons. The record is from RefSeq and is a predicted model, not a curated record.